Molecule: ribosomal RNA, 278 nt
Filed under: uncultured Staphylococcus sp.
Lineage: Bacteria; Bacillati; Bacillota; Bacilli; Caryophanales; Staphylococcaceae
Description: partial 16S ribosomal RNA
Rfam family: Bacterial small subunit ribosomal RNA
Source: RNAcentral
UACGUAGGUGGCAAGCGUUAUCCGGAAUUAUUGGGCGUAAAGCGCGCGUAGGCGGUUUUUUAAGUCUGAUGUGAAAGCCCACGGCUCAACCGUGGAGGGUCAUUGGAAACUGGAAAACUUGAGUGCAGAAGAGGAAAGUGGAAUUCCAUGUGUAGCGGUGAAAUGCGCAGAGAUAUGGAGGAACACCAGUGGCGAAGGCGACUUUCUGGUCUGUAACUGACGCUGAUGUGCGAAAGCGUGGGGAUCAAACAGGAUUAGAUACCUGGUAGUCAAGGGCG